GGAGCGAGCACGCCAGCGCGAGUAUGGAGGACGCCUCUUAACGUUUGCUGAAUAUGGCGGCGUCCAGAGUCCGUUAUAGAGAAAGAGUUUGUUUAUAUAAUGGAUUACCUUGGUGGAUUUUCAUAUAUUGAACCAUCCCUGCAUUCCUGGAAUGAAGCCUACUUGAUCAUGGUGGAUGAAGUUUUUGAUGUGUUCCUAGACUUGGUUUAACCUCCUGGUGUCAACAUGAGUUCCAGCAUGGAGGACCGUGACUGUGUGGUUUGCUGUGAAGUAAGGAAUGGCAAAGCAGCUGUCAUCCCAGGCACAGGCCACAAGAGCCCCCAUCACCAUCAGCAAAGUCUGGUCUCAAGAGGGAAGCCAAGCAUGUGUCACACAAAAUAGGUCACACUCAAGUUUCCAAAGUCCCCUGGCUGUGCUUGUUAUCAGUUUGUCCUACUGGUGACAGCCGAAGGCACAGCUCAGAUGUCUCAUCUGCAAAAUGGGACACCUGCCCUGCAUUAAGAGAAUCACCCCAAACGUCCCUCCCCAGGGUGCAGCUCACCUCCUGCAGAUCCCAGGCACGCACCGUACAGUCUGAAGACACAGUGCAAACCACGGACCUUGCCUUUUCAUCAAAGCGGUACUCGUGGGGUGAGACGUAGGCCAGCUGAUCUAUCGUUCCUGGAAGAGAGCACAGGCAGAGAUGGAUCUGACACACAUGUGUUCCUCUUUUCCCAUUAUAGCCACUCAGCUGGUGGGUGAGCACUCCCAAGAGCAGAGCCUACCGAGGCCCGUCUUGCCGUUUUAGACAAUUUAGAAAUGGAGAUAGCAACUUAUUCUUUCCCCCUAUGAUAUGAUAGACCUGCAUUCAUCAACUGGCAUCAGCUGGGAUGCCAAGUACCCCAAGACUUGAUCAGGAAGAGGGGGAUCGGUGGGAGUGGACAUGGCUCCUACACUCUCCAGCCCAUACCUGUGUGCCCAGAAAUAGCUUUGCAGAUGAAGUCCUGUGGCCGCCCAGAUUUCACACGGAACUCAAGCUCAGACCGGCAGAAAUAGUACUGCCUCCAAGUCUGCGUGCCCAGGACCACUGGGAGGGCCUUGCAGGGGGCCCAUCGCCUCAGACACAGCUGCCUGAAACACAAACGCACAAGCUUAGGCAGGACACAACAGUCAGUGAUUCCGAAACCAGAUCUAGCUUUGAAUUCUGGCCUCGAAACCAACUGUCCCUACCUAGGCCUCAACUUCCUGCUCUGUCGAACGGGGGCAGUGCUGAUGAUAAGUGAAUGGUGGCAGUGUGAACCAUGUGUACCUUUUAUAUGACAGGCUGCCCCUCACGGCAGCCCUAUGGAGGAGGCGCUCACCACCAUCCCACUCUUGGGGACACAGACGCUAAAGGACGGAUUCAUGUUGCCAACUAUGUCAAACUCCCCACUUGCCCUUGCUGUUCUGUUGGUCCUUCCUGAGUUUCCUUGCUGUUGCCAGGGGUCAGAGGGUCUCUUCAGAUCCACCUGUUUGUCAUUAUGACACUUCUUUACACGCCUGACCCCAAACUCUAUUCAGUGCUGGCAUUCAGCUGCUUUCAAUACUGUCUGCGUAUGCCUCUUCCAAAACCCAGCGUUCAGCACAUUACGUCUUUUAAGCCAAAGUCUGCCUCAGGAGUGCUUGCCGAGCAAGCACAGCCUUUGAUCUCCAACUCUCGUAACAAAAAGAAGAAAAAGGAAGACUUAAGUGUAUCUCGUGUGUACAGCAUUAAGCCGGACCAUUUCUCUCUGCCAGUUCUGUGGCUCCUUCCAAGGGAAAGCCCUUGGGUUGUGUAAUCGUGUUUUUCAUUAUUUUAAUGCUCUCUUGGAUUAAGCCCCAAUACUUCAUUACUGCCAUGUUUUGUGUUAAGCACGGUCUAAUAUACUGUUUCAAUUUCUUGGUCAUUUCUUUGUAUUACUAGUUACUGUUCAGUGGUUGGCUUUAAGAUUAUAACUUGGAUUUUGAAAUACGAAGUUUUAUUUUUUGACUAGUACACAAUCAAUUUUCAGUAGUAAAACUUCUGUGCAUA
Long non-coding RNA from Rattus norvegicus (Norway rat), 2029 nucleotides. RefSeq lists it as hypothetical. The transcript has 3 exons. NCBI's taxonomy places the organism in Eukaryota, Metazoa, Chordata, Mammalia, Rodentia, Muridae. The record is from RefSeq and is marked validated.